Long non-coding RNA from Strongylocentrotus purpuratus (purple sea urchin), 180 nucleotides. RefSeq lists it as uncharacterized. Lineage: Eukaryota; Metazoa; Echinodermata; Echinoidea; Camarodonta; Strongylocentrotidae. The transcript is spliced from 2 exons. The record is from RefSeq and is a predicted model, not a curated record.
AUAGCAACUGUUGUAGGAAGCGCUGUUGGUGCUAUUGUUGUGAUUGUUAUCGUUAUAAUUCUCAUCAUCUUCUUUUACAAGCGAAGAAGCGAUGAAUCAGCCACUACUAAGUCUAAAGGGAAGGAGUCCGAUUCGUCUCCGCAGUAUGAGAACCCUGUAUUUGAUCAGUCAAAGACAGAC